This 226-nucleotide unclassified non-coding RNA is filed under the name Hevea brasiliensis (rubber tree). Lineage: Eukaryota; Viridiplantae; Streptophyta; Magnoliopsida; Malpighiales; Euphorbiaceae. The record is from RNAcentral.
GAAGCUAUAAUACUGCCGCAACCAUAGCAGAAUAGGCACUAUAAUAAAUAGGGAAAAACUCAAUUUACGAUGCUAAUAAUAAUUCUUUUUACUUGCAAAUAUUGCUGCAAAGAAUUUUCAUUGGGAAAACAAUUAUUAAAGCACAAACACAGCAGCAAGCAUCACUUAAUAUAUCACAUUUUUAAGUUAGGCAAAUUCUAAUCACCAUCUUGGAAUGACCUGCACA